RNAcentral lists this unclassified non-coding RNA (335 nucleotides) under soil metagenome. RNAcentral describes it as "partial contains 5.8S ribosomal RNA, internal transcribed spacer 2, and large subunit ribosomal RNA". The stretch from base 1 to 120 matches the Rfam family "5.8S ribosomal RNA", at positions 35 to 154 of the family's 154-position model. The record is from RNAcentral.
GAUGAAGAACGCAGCGAAAUGCGAUAAGUAAUGUGAAUUGCAGAAUUCAGUGAAUCAUCGAAUCUUUGAACGCACAUUGCGCCCGCCAGUAUUCUGGCGGGCAUGCCUGUUCGAGCGUCAUUUCAACCAUCAAGCCCCCGGCUUGUGUUGGGGACCUGCGGCUGCCGCAGGCCCUGAAAACCAGUGGCGGGCUCGCUAGUCACUCCGAGCGUAGUAAUACAUCUCGCUCAGGGCGUGCUGCGGGUUCCGGCCGUUAAAAAGCCUUAUUUACCCAAGGUUGACCUCGGAUCAGGUAGGAAGACCCGCUGAACUUAUGCAUAUCAAUAAGCGGAGGA